This 737-nucleotide long non-coding RNA is filed under the name Marmota monax (woodchuck). The record is from RNAcentral. Lineage: Eukaryota; Metazoa; Chordata; Mammalia; Rodentia; Sciuridae.
AACACCCCUGUGUUCAAUCCCAGGACCAAAAUAAAUAAAUGAAGGAACUUGGAUGUCUGAAUGGGGGUUUUUUAACUGAGUGGAUAUGGGGAGUCCUUGACGAUUUUUAAGCUGGAGAGACCUAACAUGGGCUCUCUUCACCUCUACCACCCCCACCCCCCACCGUCAAGGUGUUUCUAUUCUCCAACUUGACCUACAGAAUAUGUAGGAAGAAUUGGAAGCAGUAAAAGGGGACAUAAGAGAAAUGUGUGAAGUAAUUUUUACAACAGCCUCUGUGGAAAUAAUGACAGGCUGAACCUGGAAGAUGGGGAGAAAACGGAAAGAAGAAACUGUCCAGAAGGAUGCAUGGUAGAAGCACCUGCCUCUUGGAAUAGAUUCCCUCUCCAGAGAUACAGCCCCAAAGUCAAGGGUUUCACCUUUUAAUGGGAGCAGUGACUUUGAUCACAUCCUGCCAUCUGAAAAAGAAUGAUGCCUUGGUUUUGGGAUUUCAUGACCCUCCUACAAGUUGCAACAAAUUGAGCUGAAGGGUCAGAGCAGCCAUAAGUUUCCGGGAAUCUGGCUCCUUCUGGCUCAUCCUCCUUGUCCUGAGAAAGCAAAGCAUUGGGUAGGUUAUCUCCUCCAGGCUCCAAGCAAGUACCAGGUACCCCAUGGGGCAUUUUACCAACCUCACAACUCCCUUAUAAAAUUGUAGCUGCCCUGGUAUCAUUUUGGAGUACUUAUAUGUUUAAAAGUAAAGG